GAUGAACGCUGGCGGCGUGCCUAAUACAUGCAAGUCGAGCGAACGGACGAGAAGCUUGCUUCUCUGAUGUUAGCGGCGGACGGGUGAGUAACACGUGGAUAACCUACCUAUAAGACUGGGAUAACUUCGGGAAACCGGAGCUAAUACCGGAUAAUAUUUUGAACCGCAUGGUUCAAAAGUGAAAGACGGUCUUGCUGUCACUUAUAGAUGGAUCCGCGCUGCAUUAGCUAGUUGGUAAGGUAACGGCUUACCAAGGCAACGAUGCAUAGCCGACCUGAGAGGGUGAUCAGCCACACUGGAACUGAGACACGGUCCAGACUCCUACGGGAGGCAGCAGUAGGGAAUCUUCCGCAACGGGCGAAAGCCUGACGGAGCAACGCCGCGUGAGUGAUGAAGGUCUUCGGAUCGUAAAACUCUGUUAUUAGGGAAGAACAUAUGUGUAAGUAACUGUGCACAUCUUGACGGUACCUAAUCAGAAAGCCACGGCUAACUACGUG
Molecule: ribosomal RNA, 497 nt
Filed under: uncultured bacterium
Lineage: Bacteria
Description: partial 16S ribosomal RNA
Rfam family: Bacterial small subunit ribosomal RNA
Source: RNAcentral